Cucumis sativus (cucumber) is the source of this 93-nucleotide non-coding RNA. The record is from Rfam. Lineage: Eukaryota; Viridiplantae; Streptophyta; Magnoliopsida; Cucurbitales; Cucurbitaceae.
GUUGCAGUGACGAGAAGCUAACAUGUAAGAAGGGCUGCUUUUGUAGCGGCAUCUUCUAUGAAAUAUAUUUGUUACGCUUGGCUUCUGAGCACA